AUACGGAGGGUGCAAGCGUUACUCGGAACCACUGGGCGUAAAGCGCGCGCAGGCGGGCUGAUAAGUUGGAUGUGAAAGCCUACGGCUCAACCGUAGAACUGCAUCCAAAACUGUCAGUCUAGAGUGUGGGAGAGGAAGAUGGAAUUAGUUGUGUAGGGGUAAAAUCCGUAGAGAUAACUAGGAAUACCAAAAGCGAAGGCAAUCUUCUGGAACACUACUGACGCUGAGGCGCGAAGGCGUGGGGAGUAAACAGGAUUAGAAACCCUAGAGUCC
This 273-nucleotide ribosomal RNA is filed under the name uncultured bacterium. Its description in RNAcentral is "partial 16S ribosomal RNA". It matches the Rfam family "Bacterial small subunit ribosomal RNA", at positions 523 to 796 of the family's 1533-position model. The record is from RNAcentral.